GAACCAGCAACUUGGGGGAACAUGCAGCUUCGGCUGGCUAUUUGCUUUUUUAUGUGUUUUUAUUUACAUUUACUGCGUACUUCGUUAGGCUUAAUGUGUUUUAAUUAUUUAUAGAUAGUGCUUACGGUAGAUAUCUAGUUUAAUUAAAAAAUACAAAGCUACGACAGCGUAGCAGUACUAAUUUUCAUUGCUUUAAUGGAUUACUUUGUUAAUUUAAUGGAUUAUUUUGUGAAAUUAAUUGCUUUUAUAUCCCCCGGGGAUAUAAAAUAACUUUGACUCGUUAUCAAUGCAAGCUUAUAGGAUCGAUUUUGUUGAUUAUAGUUCUAAGUAUAAUAGGAGGGUAGUUUGCUGCCCUUGGAUAGGGGAUUCGCCUGAUAAGGGUGAUUCGCCUGAGUUAAUCACUUAUUAUGAAUAUUUUAUACUUAGGUGUCUUGACCAAAUUACGUGCCAGCAGUCGCGGCAAUACGUAGAAGACUAGUGUUGUUCAUCUUAAACAGGUUUAUUGGGUACCUAGACGGUGAUUAUAGUCCACAACGGGAUACGUUUUCACUAGAGUUAUAUAUGAAAAGGUGAGAAUUUAAGGUGGAGAGUUGCAAUUUUAUGAUACUUUAAGGACUGACAGGGGCGAAAGCAAUCUUUUAUCUAAUAACUGACGUUGAGGGACGAAGGCUUGGGGAGCGAAUAGGAUUAGAGACCCUAGUAGUCCAAGCAGAAAAUUAUGAAUGCCAUAGGUUAGAUGUAUUUAAUCUAUAAAUGAAAGUGGAAGCAUUUCAUCUCAAGAGUAAUGCGGCAACGCUGGAACUGAAAUCAUUAGACCGCGUUUGAGACCAGUAG
RNAcentral lists this ribosomal RNA (834 nucleotides) under Cyttaria exigua. Its description in RNAcentral is "SSU rRNA". The stretch from base 330 to 834 matches the Rfam family "Bacterial small subunit ribosomal RNA", at positions 1 to 932 of the family's 1533-position model. The record is from RNAcentral. Lineage: Eukaryota; Fungi; Ascomycota; Leotiomycetes; Helotiales; Cyttariaceae.